CAGGAGGAGAGAAGCAGCACAAAAAUGAUGCUCCUCCAUCUGCAGUUCAGACAACCUCCACAAAGCCCACAGCAGCAGUGGCAACAGAGGGAGUCCGUCAGCACAUCCUCUCCACCUCCAGGAUCCAGAUGGAGAUGUUGCCUUUGUAUGACUAGCCUACAUUAUGGAUCUCAGUGCGGAGUAAUGGAACUAAUUUGCUGAAGCUAUGAACAACCAUGCCUGCUAUCUCCAGAGAGUGGGAGGACUCUGAGGAAUGCAGCAGACAGAACGGAGCAGCAUCAUCUGAAUCACUAGAAUGGAUCAGCACUCCGGUUCAGGUUUAUCUGAUCUCUCUGAGCAAAUGUCUGCAUCACUGAUGACAUCAAAAGGGUAUCAUUUCAGGAAGAAAUACUUUAUGGGGUGUGAAAUGGACGAUUUCUCAAAGACGGCGCGGGAAGGCAGCUGACACGGCACUGGAGUCACGGCGCGAUGAUGGAAGCGUCUCGGCCCGAUUGGGCCCGUGUGUCAUCAAUUGCACAGAAAACACGAGGCCCGACGCGGUAACACAGACAGAGGAGAGAUUGGAGGAAGCAGCUGAGACUUUAUUUACUCUCCUGUUUGCAGUACCACGGUAAGGCGCUAAUAUGGAGCCGCAUUGAUGGGAACAAGGUAUGGAGCCUGCACAAAACCAAUACAGCUUCCUGAUGGGACGCCGUGUCUUUCAAUUUGGGGUUUUUUCUUUUCUCUUUCCUGCCCUGAAAGGGCUCAUAA
Alosa sapidissima (American shad) is the source of this 750-nucleotide long non-coding RNA. RefSeq lists it as uncharacterized. The transcript is spliced from 6 exons. NCBI's taxonomy places the organism in Eukaryota, Metazoa, Chordata, Actinopteri, Clupeiformes, Clupeidae. The record is from RefSeq and is a predicted model, not a curated record.